This 301-nucleotide ribosomal RNA is filed under the name uncultured bacterium. RNAcentral describes it as "partial 16S ribosomal RNA". It matches the Rfam family "Bacterial small subunit ribosomal RNA", at positions 509 to 809 of the family's 1533-position model. The record is from RNAcentral.
CAGUAGCCGCGGGAAUACGUAGGGUGCGAGCGUUAAUCGGAAUUACUGGGCGUAAAGCGUGCGCAGGCGGUUGUGUAAGACAGGUGUGAAAUCCCCGGGCUUAACCUGGGAACUGCGCUUGUGACUGCACAGCUAGAGUAUGGCAGAGGGGGAUGGAAUUCCGCGUGUAGCAGUGAAAUGCGUAGAUAUGCGGAGGAACACCGAUGGCGAAGGCAAUCCCCUGGGCCUGCACUGACGCUCAUGCACGAAAGCGUGGGGAGCAAACAGGAUUAGAUACCCGCGUAGUCCCUGUCUCUUAUCA